This 274-nucleotide ribosomal RNA is filed under the name uncultured bacterium. Its description in RNAcentral is "partial 16S ribosomal RNA". It matches the Rfam family "Bacterial small subunit ribosomal RNA", at positions 523 to 796 of the family's 1533-position model. The record is from RNAcentral.
AUACGGAGGGUGCAAGCGUUGUUCGGAAUUACUGGGCGUAAAGCGCGCGUAGGCGGUCUGUUAUGUCAGAUGUGAAAGUCCUCGGCUCAACCGGGGAAGUGCAUUUGAAACUGGCAGACUUGAGUACUGGAGGGGGUGGUGGAAUUCCCGGUGUAGAGGUGAAAUUCGUAGAUAUCGGGAGGAAUACCGGUGGCGAAGGCGACCACCUGGCCAGGUACUGACGCUGAGGUGCGAAAGCGUGGGGAGCAAACAGGAUUAGAUACCCCGGUAGUCC